This 465-nucleotide ribosomal RNA is filed under the name uncultured bacterium. RNAcentral's name for it is "partial 16S ribosomal RNA". It matches the Rfam family "Bacterial small subunit ribosomal RNA", at positions 339 to 795 of the family's 1533-position model. The record is from RNAcentral.
CUACGGGAUGCACCAGUGGGGAAUAUUGCACAAUGGGCGCAAGCCUGAUGCAGCCAUGCCGCGUGUAUGAAGAAGGCCUUCGGGUUGUAAAGUACUUUCAGCGGGGAGGAAGGGAGUAAAGUUAAUACCUUUGCUCAUUGACGUUACCCGCAGAAGAAGCACCGGCUAACUCCGUGCCAGCAGCCGCGGUAAUACGGAGGGUGCAAGGCGUUAAUCGGAAUUACUGGGCGUAAAGCGCACGCAGGCGGUUUGUUAAGUCAGAUGUGAAAUCCCCGGGCUCAACCUGGGAACUGCAUCUGAUACUGGCAAGCUUGAGUCUCGUAGAGGGGGGUAGAAUUCCAGGUGCAGCGGUGAAAUGCGUAGAGAUCUGGAGGAAUACCGGUGGCGAAGGCGGCCCCCUGGACGAAGACUGACGCUCAGGUGCGAAAGCGUGGGGAGCAAACAGGAUUAGAUACCCCGGUAGUC